This 685-nucleotide ribosomal RNA is filed under the name uncultured fungus. RNAcentral's name for it is "eukaryotic LSU rRNA". The stretch from base 188 to 341 matches the Rfam family "5.8S ribosomal RNA". Lineage: Eukaryota; Fungi. The record is from RNAcentral.
UUCCGUAGGUGACCUGCGGAGGAUCAUUAUCGAAUUGGCUUGGACUGUGCUGGCUUCUGCAUGUGCACGUCCAUCUUCAUCCAAUACACCUGUGCAUCUUUGACUUUGAGCCCUCGGGCAAGAAGUAUUACUACACCCUUUGAUUAUGUAUGUGAUAAAUUAUGGCGCUUUGCGUCGAUUAUAAAACAACUUUCAACAACGGAUCUCUUGGCUCUCGCAUCGAUGAAGAACGCAGCGAAAUGCGAUAAGUAAUGUGAAUUGCAGAAUUCAGUGAAUCAUCGAAUCUUUGAACGCACCUUGCACCCUUUGGUAUUCCGAAGGGUAUGCCCGUUUGAGUGUCAUUGUAAUCUCACACCCAAGACUUCUUGUCGAGGGAGGUGGACUUGGACGUUUGCUGCGUAACUGCGGCUCGUCUCAAAAGUGUCAGCGCGGCUCUAGAUGAAGCGUUUGAUGCCCAGUGUAAUAAGUAUUUCGCUGUGGUUAGCAUUACUCUACGAAGCUGUUGUGCUCUCUAAUCGUCUUCGGACUGGACCAGUGAUGGUUCAUUUGACAACUUGGCCUCAAAUCGGGUAGGACUACCCGCUGAACUUAAGCAUAUCAAUAAGCGGAGGAAAAGAAACUAACCAGGAUUCCCCUAGUAACGGCGAGUGAAGAGGGAAGAGCUCAAAUUUUGAAUCUGGCGUCU